GACGGGGGAUGCAAGUGUUAUCCGGAAUCACUGGGCGUAAAGCGUCUGUAGGUGGUUGCAUAAGUCAACUGUUAAAUCUUGAGGCUUAACCUCAAAAUCGCAGUCGAAACUGUUUGACUAGAGUAUAGUAGGGGUAAAGGGAAUUUCCAGUGGAGCGGUGAAAUGCGUAGAUAUUGGAAAGAACACCGAUGGCGAAGGCACUUUACUGGGCUAUUACUAACACUGAGAAACGAAAGCUAGGGUAGCAAAUGGG
Molecule: ribosomal RNA, 253 nt
Filed under: uncultured bacterium
Lineage: Bacteria
Description: partial 16S ribosomal RNA
Rfam family: Bacterial small subunit ribosomal RNA
Source: RNAcentral